GGUAGGGGCCAAAUCAAAACUGGUAACUCUAUAUCACCCUAAGAUGAAGAUAUUCUCUAUAAAUAAUAUGACAUGUGGAAGCUAAGCAGGGCUGGGCCUGGUUAGUGCUUGGAUAGGAGACCACCUAGGAAGACCAGGUGCUGUAGGCA
Molecule: non-coding RNA, 149 nt
Organism: Pteropus alecto (black flying fox)
Lineage: Eukaryota; Metazoa; Chordata; Mammalia; Chiroptera; Pteropodidae
Source: Rfam